UACGGAGGGGGCUAGCGUUGUUCGGAAUUACUGGGCGUAAAGCGCACGUAGGCGGAUUGGAAAGUUGGGGGUGAAAUCCCGGGGCUCAACCCCGGAACUGCCUUCAAAACUCCCAGUCUGGAGGUCGAGAGAGGUGAGUGGAAUUCCGAGUGUAGAGGUGAAAUUCGUAGAUAUUCGCAAGAACACCAGUGGCGAAGGCGGCUCACUGGCCCGGAACUGACGCUGAGGUGCGAAAGCGUGGGGAGCAAACAGG
RNAcentral lists this ribosomal RNA (253 nucleotides) under uncultured bacterium. RNAcentral's name for it is "partial 16S ribosomal RNA". It matches the Rfam family "Bacterial small subunit ribosomal RNA", at positions 524 to 776 of the family's 1533-position model. The record is from RNAcentral.